This 268-nucleotide ribosomal RNA is filed under the name unidentified gamma proteobacterium groupE. Its description in RNAcentral is "partial 16S small subunit ribosomal RNA". It matches the Rfam family "Bacterial small subunit ribosomal RNA", at positions 1106 to 1373 of the family's 1533-position model. Lineage: Bacteria; Pseudomonadati; Pseudomonadota; Gammaproteobacteria. The record is from RNAcentral.
UGUCCUUAUUUGCCAGCACAUAAUGGUGGGAACUCUAAGGAGACUGCCGGUGACAAACCGGAGGAAGGUGGGGACGACGUCAAGUCAUCAUGGCCCUUAUGACCAGGGCUACACACGUGCUACAAUGGAGCGUACAAAGGGUUGCUAAGCCGCGAGGUGGAGCCAAUCCCAGAAAACGUUUCGUAGUCCGGAUCGAAGUCUGCAACUCGACUUCGUGAAGUCGGAAUCGCUAGUAAUCGCGAAUCAGCAUGUCGCGGUGAAUACGUUC